Molecule: ribosomal RNA, 1356 nt
Filed under: Paenibacillus roseus
Lineage: Bacteria; Bacillati; Bacillota; Bacilli; Caryophanales; Paenibacillaceae
Description: Bacterial large subunit ribosomal RNA
Rfam family: Bacterial large subunit ribosomal RNA
Source: Rfam by way of RNAcentral
AAUUAAAAAUAAUACAAUAAUAGAAAAAGAAAUCUUCCAAGAAAAUUUCUAAAUUUUGUUUUAAAAUUAAAAUAAUUUUAUUAAUAAUAAAAAAACUUGUACCGUAAACCGACACAGGUGGGAAAGUAGAAUAUACUAAGGGGCGCGAGAAAAUUCUCUUUAAGGAACUCGGCAAAAUAGCUCUGUAACUUCGGGAGAAAGAGUACCUUUUUAUAAGGUCGCAGUGAAGAGGCUCGAUCAACUGUUUAACAAAAACACAAGUUUCCGCGAAGUCAUAAAGACAAUGUAUGGGAGCUGACGCCUGCCCAGUGCCAGUUGGUUAAUUAUAGGAGUUAAAAAAAAUAAUUUUUGAAGCUCUUAGACAAAGCCUUGGUGAACGGCGGCUGUAACUAUGACAGUCCUAAGGUAGCGAAAUUCCUUGUCAGGUAAGUUCUGACCCGCACGAAUGGCGUAAUGAAUCGAGCACUGUCUCAAAGAGAAUCUCGGUGAAAUAGACAUAUCCGUGAAGAUGCGGAUUACUUACACCAGGACAAUAAGACCCUAGAAGCUUUACUAUAGUUUGAAAUUGUACAAUAUUUUGAAAUAUAUAGUUUAUGUGGGAGAUUUUAACCUAAAAUAUGGUAAUCUUAAGUGAAAGACCACUUUUUUCUGAAAGACGGUACUUAAAAUAUACCUUUAAACAGGAUAUUUGACAGUUUUUGAUGGGUAGUUUACCUGGGGCAGGUGCCUCCUAAAAGGUAACGGAGGUAUACAAAGGUUCAUUUAAACUGUUUGGAAAUCAGUGGCGAAGUAUAAAGGCAUAAAUGGGCUUGAUUAUAAGACUUAAAAGUCGAGUAAGGACGAAAGUCUGUCUUAAUGAUCCGAUAUUCCUAUGUGGAAAGGUUAUCGCUCAUUUGAUAAGAGUUACUCUAGGGAUAACAGGCUGAUCUUCCCCAAGAGUCCAUAUCGACGGGAAGGUUUGGCACCUCGAUGUCGGCUCAUCGCAUCCUGGGGCGGUAGGUGGUCCCAAGGGUUGGGCUGUUCGCCCAUUAAAGCGGUACGUGAGCUGGGUUUAGAACGUCGUAAGACAGUUUGGUUCAUAUCCGGUGUAAGCUUUAGAACAUUGAAAGACAUCUUUAAUAGUACGAGAGGACUUUAAAGGAUAUACCUCUGGUCUACCAGUUCUUAUGCCAAUAGGAAACGCUGGGUAGCUACGUAUAGAACUCAGAAUCACUGAAUGCAUCUAAGUGAGAAAGAGAUCUUAAGAUAGAUGUUCUCUAAAAAAUUUUAGAAAGAUUAUCUAAUAAAUAGGUAUAACGUAUAAGAUUUGUAAAAAUUUAAGCGGAUAUAUACUAAUAAAUUAAAAGUUUUUGAUCU